This 500-nucleotide ribosomal RNA is filed under the name uncultured bacterium. RNAcentral's name for it is "partial 16S ribosomal RNA". It matches the Rfam family "Bacterial small subunit ribosomal RNA", at positions 32 to 507 of the family's 1533-position model. The record is from RNAcentral.
AAUCAACGCUGGCGGCGUGCCUAACACAUGCAAGUCGAACGCGAAAGCCCCGCAAGGGGUAAGUAGAGUGGCAAACGGGUGAGUAACACGUGGGUGACCUGCCUUCGAGUGGGGGAUAACGUCCCGAAAGGGACGCUAAUACCGCAUGACAUCCUGCUUUUGAAAAAGCGGAGAUCAAAGCUGGGGAUCGCAAGACCUAGCGCUUGAAAAGGGGCCCGCGCCUGAUUAGCUAGUUGGUGAGGUAACGGCUCACCAAGGCGACGAUCAGUAUCCGGCCUGAGAGGGCGGACGGACACACUGGGACUGAGACACGGCCCAGACUCCUACGGGAGGCAGCAGUGGGGAAUUGUUCGCAAUGGGCGCAAGCCUGACGACGCAACGCCGCGUGGAGGACGAAGAGCUUCGGGUCGUAAACUCCUGUCGAGCGGGACGAACGCUUCGCGGAUGAAUAAUCCGCGGAAUUGACGGUACCGCUAAAGGAAGCCCCGGCUAACUCCGUG